Molecule: ribosomal RNA, 466 nt
Filed under: Comamonadaceae bacterium
Lineage: Bacteria; Pseudomonadati; Pseudomonadota; Betaproteobacteria; Burkholderiales; Comamonadaceae
Description: bacterial SSU rRNA
Rfam family: Bacterial small subunit ribosomal RNA
Source: RNAcentral
UUCCGCGUGCAGGAUGAAGGCCCUCGGGUUGUAAACUGCUUUUGUACGGAACGAAAAGGUCUCUCCUAAUACGAGAGGCUCAUGACGGUACCGUAAGAAUAAGCACCGGCUAACUACGUGCCAGCAGCCGCGGUAAUACGUAGGGUGCAAGCGUUAAUCGGAAUUACUGGGCGUAAAGCGUGCGCAGGCGGUUAUAUAAGACAGAUGUGAAAUCCCCGGGCUCAACCUGGGAACUGCAUUUGUGACUGUAUAGCUAGAGUACGGUAGAGGGGGAUGGAAUUCCGCGUGUAGCAGUGAAAUGCGUAGAUAUGCGGAGGAACACCGAUGGCGAAGGCAAUCCCCUGGACCUGUACUGACGCUCAUGCACGAAAGCGUGGGGAGCAAACAGGAUUAGAUACCCUGGUAGUCCACGCCCUAAACGAUGUCAACUGGUUGUUGGGUCUUCACUGACUCAGUAACGAAGCUA